UUCAUCAAUGAAAAACUCACUCAAAAAUUUUUCAACUUCUUUCUCAUUAACUUAGUAAAUUUCUAUAUGGUAUCAGAGACUUAUUAAAGAUCCUGCCUUUUAGUUUCUUCAAUAUCAAGCACCACCUCUGAGUCACCAUCAAUUCCUUUUGGAUCCAAAGUAUUGGAUCAAAGCAACCCUUACUUUCUUCACCCAUCUAAUUCACCAGGCAUGUCCUUGGUGAACACCACUUUUAAAGGAAAAGCUAUAGUGGAUGGAUAAGAUCUAUCCUCAUUGUGCUCUCAGCUAAAAACAAACUGGGAUUUAUUGAUGGAAGCUGUAAAACUCCAUCUCUUAGAAGUCCAGAUCUACAAUCAUGGAUCAGAUGCAAUGGUAUAUUUACCAGCUAGUUACUGAAUUCACUAUCUAGAGAUAUUGCUGACAGUGUGCUCUAUUUCAAAUAGAUGAGGAACUUUGUAGAGAUCUUGAGGAUAGGUUUGUCCAAUCUAAUAGGGCCAAAUAAUAUCACCUAGAAAAGGAAAUGAGUGAAUUAUCAUAGGGGACAUAUGAUAUUGCAACUUACUAUACCAAAGCAAGGGUAUGGGAUGAGUUAGAUACUUUAUACAUAAAAAAACACUUGUUCUUGGAAUUGUGAUUGUGGUGGUAAGGUGAAACUAACAAAAGCACAACAAGAUGAAAGACUCGUCUAGUUUCUUAUGGGAUUAAAUAAGUCUUAUGAUGCUGCAAGAAGUAACAUUUUAAUAAUUUCAUCCAUGCCUUUUGUGAGUCUUGCUUACUCUCUCCUUAUUCAAGAUGAGAAACAAACAGAGAUUUCUGUUUACUCUAACCCUGCAGGAGAUCACUCUUCCUACUUGGUCACUGAUGGGAAUGCAUCUUCUCAGUACCUUUAAGGUAAUCUGAGAAGCAAUAACCCAAAAGACAGAUCUAAAAAGGUCAACACAUCUGUGACAUGCUCUCACCAUAAAAAAUUUGGACACAUUGUGGAUAGAUGCUACAGAAUUAUUGGUUUCCCUAAUAAUUUUAAAUUCACGAAGAAUAAUAGGGUACAAAACACCGUGAGGAGCAACGGUGUCUUUCAAUCUGACUCACUUUAUUACCCUAGUUCUCUACCUAAUUGUGUAGGUUAAGUUGGAAACCACUUAACUGCUGAACAAUUUUCUCAGUUAGUUAGCCUAUUAAAUCAAGCCAAGGUCUCUCAACCAGAUAUUGCUCUUGCUGAUACUGCAGCCACAACCACUACUGUUGGUAAUGGUUCAGUUUUAUGUUUGCUUUCUUUAAAUUCUAACCCCUGGAAUUUAGAUCCAUGGGUUACUCAACAUAUGUGUUUUGAUUCAACCAAAUUCGUUACUCUCACACAUCUUAAUCAGCCAUUAAUGUCACUUUGCCUAAUUCUCUUAGGGUAAGAUUUACUCACUCAGGAAUUGUGAUUUUGUUUCCUGAUCUCAUUAUUCAAGAUGUUCUUUAUGUACCUUUAUUCAAGCUGAACCUACUAUCAGUACACAAAAUGUGCACCCAACUAGAUUGUCUUAUAACUUUUUUAUCUACCAAAUGUGUCUUGCAGGACCCUUCAAUGAAAAGGCCUCUAAUUCUUGAUGAAAUAAAGAAUGGACUCUAUCAAUUAUUCCCUUCAAGAUUACAGUUCAAGAAAGAUGCAAUCUCUUUUUCCAGUUCUAGUUUUUCCUCUUGUAAUUUCCUAUCUAGUUCAGUUUCAAGCAUUAGAAAUUCUAAUUUCUAUCUAUGGCAUGUAAGAUCGGGACAUUUGCCUAUUUCAUCAAUGAACAAGUUAGUUUCCUUUGAUUGUAAGUAUGAUUCUAAUUUUAUUUGUGAUGUAUGCCAUCUUGCCAAACAAAACAAGUUACCCUUUCUUCUUAGUCACAUCAAAAUAAAAUCACCUUUUGAAUUAAUUCAUAUUGAUACAUGGAGUUCCUCUAAAAACUCAACGUACAAUGGGCACCAAUAUUUCCUUACCAUAAUUGAUGAUUUUAGUAGAACUACUUUGACCUAUCUUUUGAGUACUAAAGCUAAUGCCUUCCCUAAAAUAAGUUCUAUCUAUGGUUCAAAGGCAAUUCAACUAUCAAGUGAAAACAAUUAGGUCUGACGAUGCUCUGGAAUUGUUUAAAGGAAUUGCUGCCUCUAAUUUUAUACUUUCUCAAGGGGUUUUACAUCAAACAUCUUGCAUUUCUACCCCACAACAAAAUGGAAUAAUGGAGAGAAAGUAUAGGCAUCUUCUAGAAACUUCUAGGGCCUUGUUAUUCCAAUCUAAUCUAUAUCUUUCCUAUUGGGGUGACUGUAUACUUACUUCUACUUUCUUAAUCAAUAGAUACCCCUCCAUGAUUCUAAAUGUAAAAUCCCAUAUGAAGUAUUAUUUGGUCAUCCUCAUAAAUAUUAAUUCCUAAAGGCCUUUAGUUGUCUUUGUUAUGCCUCAAACUUAACUUACAAUACAUCAAAUUUUUCACCUUGGGCCAUUCCUUAUGUAUUUUUAGGACAUCCACCAGGACAAAAAGGUUAUAAACUACUAUCUUUACAAAACAAAAAAAAUCUUUGUUUCAAGGGAUGUUCACUUUCAUGAGACAAUUUUUUCCUUCAAGUCAACUCCAUAUUCUACCUUAAUUUUUUCCCUUCCACAUUUAAUCCCUGUAGAUCCCUCUAUUUUCUAUUUUGAACCUAAUCUAAAUCCUACCUCCUCAGCUCCACUAGAUACUUUUUCCCCUUCUUCAUUAUCUCCUUUUCUAUUUCUGAACCUGUCUCUACUAUACCUACUCCUGAACCUGCUUCUGAUCUACCUAAUAUCCUUUCUCCUAAUCUUUCUACCAUUUCUGCUGAAUCCAAAAGAUCAUCUAGGACACAAAAACAACCAAUUUAUUUGGAUGAUUACUAUUGUAACAAUGUUUUUCUCACUGAUCUCACUUCUUCUUGCUUCUUUUCACCUAUCAACCCACAAGUUUUUCCUUUUACUAAUCUCUCUUUAGCCAAUAAACUUGUGGUUAACUCUAUUUUCUCUAUCACUGAACCCAAUACCUAUGCUCAAGAAGCAAUACAUCCAGGUUGGCAAACUGCUAUGGAUAAUGAGAUUUAGGCUCUAAUAGCAAAUCAAACCUAGGAUAUUGUGGAAUUUCCUAAAGGAAAAAGAGUUUUACCUUGCAAAUGGGUAUACAAAGUAAAAUAUAAGUCUGUGCUAACGUUGAACGUCUCAAAGAAAGACUAUUAGUUCAAGGUGACAUUCAAAGGGUUGAAAUUGAUUUCAUUGAAACAUUCUCAUAUGUGGUGAAAAUGACGACUAUCAGGUGUCUUUUAGCUAUUACUAUAAAGAAAAGGUGACCUUUUUUCCAACUAAAAGUCAAUAAUGCUUUUCUACAUAGAGACCUCGAUGAAGAAGUCUACAUGAAAUUUCCAGUAGGAAUGGAUUCACCUAAUCCCAAUCUUGUUUGUCGACUCAAGAAAUUCCUUUAUGGAUUAAGGCAAGCAUCGUGCUAAUGGUUUUCUAGACUAUCAGUUGCUCUUCAUUUUAAAGGAUUUCACUCCUUAAUGAUUACUCGUUGUUUUACAAAAACUCAGGGGAUCUUAUUAAUAUCAUUGCUAUAUAAUGAGAUGAUUCUCAUACUAUUGCACAAUUAAAAUAAUUUCUUGAUGCAGAAUUCAAAGUAAAAGACCUGAAAACUUACAUUAUUUUUUGGGUCUUGAAAUCUUCAAAGAAUAAAUUGGGUUGAUCAUUACCCAACAAAAAUUCACCCUCGAACUCCGUACUAAGUUUGGCUAUAGUUAUUUGCCACUGAUUUCUUCUCUAGUCCAUUAAACUCUCAUCACAUCCGGUGAACUCAUCACCGAUCCCACUGCAUAUCAUCGUAUUAUUGGGAAACUCAUUACUUUAUCCACACUCGACCUGACCUUUCAUAUGUUAUUCAGCAUCUUUCCUAAUUUAUGCAACAACCUCGAGUUCCCCAUUUCAAUGUUGCACUCUGAGUUCUUCGUUAUCUAUGUACAAAUCCUGAUCAAGGUUUUCUUUUUAAUAAUAAUCCUUCAUCUUCCCUUCUUGGUUAUUGCAACACUGAUUGGGCAUCUUGUGUCGAUUCUCAUCAAUCCGUCAGCGGAUUUUAUAUCACUUUCGGUGGAUCCCCCAUCUCUUGAAAAUCCAAGAAGCAAUCCACUAUUUUUUAUCCUCUGCUGAAUCAAAAUAUCGCUAUAUGAGGCGUGUCGUGGCAGAGUUAAUCUGGAUAAACCAUCUCCUUCAUGAUUUAGGUGUAUCACCAUCCCUUCCUAUUCCCAUCCACUUUGAUAGUCAAGCGGUGAUUCACAUAGCCAAAACCCUCAUUUUUUACUAACAGACCAAACACGUUGAGCUAGACUAUCAUUUUGUUCGCCAACAGUUUCUCGCGGGAAUAAUCUCCCUUUUCUUCAUUUCGGCUUCCUCUCAAUUCGUUGAUUUACUCAUCAAACUCUUGACCGGAUCC
Molecule: long non-coding RNA, 4448 nt
Filed under: Capsicum annuum
Lineage: Eukaryota; Viridiplantae; Streptophyta; Magnoliopsida; Solanales; Solanaceae
Description: long non-coding RNA (CANN_LNC010402)
Source: RNAcentral